AGUCGUUCAAGACCAGGACGUUGAUAGGCUGGGUGUGGAAGAGCGGUAACGCUUUAAGCUAACCAGUACUAAUUGCUCGUGAGGCUUGACCCUAUAACUUU
Molecule: ribosomal RNA, 101 nt
Filed under: Sphaerotilus sulfidivorans
Lineage: Bacteria; Pseudomonadati; Pseudomonadota; Betaproteobacteria; Burkholderiales; Sphaerotilaceae
Description: Sphaerotilus natans subsp. sulfidivorans partial 23S ribosomal RNA
Rfam family: Bacterial large subunit ribosomal RNA
Source: RNAcentral